UUAAUUGAAACCAAAAUAGAGGUAAAUUAUUGUUAAUAAUUUUAUUGAAUCGCCAAUUGAA
This 61-nucleotide transfer RNA is filed under the name Pristaulacus sp. ZJUH_2016030. RNAcentral's name for it is "tRNA-Asn". Lineage: Eukaryota; Metazoa; Arthropoda; Insecta; Hymenoptera; Aulacidae. The record is from RNAcentral.